GACGAACGCUGGCGGCGUGCCUAAUACAUGCAAGUUGAGCGCUGAAGGUUGGUACUUGUUCCAACUGGAUGAGCAGCGAACGGGUGAGUAACGCGUGGGGAAUCUGCCUUUGAGCGGGGGACAACAUUUGGAAACGAAUGCUAAUACCGCAUAAAAACUUUAAACACAAGUUUUAAGUUUGAAAGAUGCAAUUGCAUCACUCAAAGAUGAUCCCGCGUUGUAUUAGCUAGUUGGUGAGGUAAAGGCUCACCAAGGCGAUGAUACAUAGCCGACCUGAGAGGGUGAUCGGCCACAUUGGGACUGAGACACGGCCCAAACUCCUACGGGAGGCAGCAGUAGGGAAUCUUCGGCAAUGGACGAAAGUCUGACCGAGCAACGCCGCGUGAGUGAAGAGGGUUUUCGGAUCGUAAAACUCUGUUGGUAGAGAAGAACGUUGGUGAGAGUGGAAAGCUCACCAAGUGACGGUAACUACCCAGAAAGGGACGGCUAACUACGUG
This 497-nucleotide ribosomal RNA is filed under the name uncultured bacterium. RNAcentral's name for it is "partial 16S ribosomal RNA". It matches the Rfam family "Bacterial small subunit ribosomal RNA", at positions 28 to 507 of the family's 1533-position model. The record is from RNAcentral.